Molecule: long non-coding RNA, 1602 nt
Filed under: Marmota monax (woodchuck)
Lineage: Eukaryota; Metazoa; Chordata; Mammalia; Rodentia; Sciuridae
Source: RNAcentral
UUCCCGUCUCCAAGAAGCAUAUCUUGGGCAGGUGGCCUUUCCUCUCAAGAAAGCCAGAGACACCUAUUUCUGGCAUUCAUGUCACCUACUCUCCUUGUUCCUGUGAUCACUGGGACGGGCCUCCGUGCACUCCAGGCACUGUGCGCGUUUUGCAUGUUUUACACCCUCAAGGGCUCGUGCUCUCCUGGCCCUGGACAGCAGAAGCAUGUGGACUGUCGCAGCUCGGCUAGCCAUGAGCUUGGUUGGCCAAGGCUGCUUUUGGGUCUCCAGGGCGGAAGGCCAGUGGGGUCAGGAGGGGCCCCUGUGCAGCACCUGGCUUGGCAGCUGUCUCCUGACCCGGGGGAUUGCUGCUGGGGUGGGGCAGUCUCAGUGAAGGUGCCUUUCUGUAUCCUGUUUGAUGCUCCUUCACCUGAGGAGGGCAGCAGAGGGGCAGAGCUGCUCCUUGAUCUUUCCUCAGUCAGGGGGUCCUCAGCUCAGGGACCACCCCCACCACGGGCCUGGGGACCUCACUUCUGCAGUCACAGGACCACCAGGGAAUCGGGAAACAAAAGGCCAUGCCAGUCCUUGAAGGGAAACGGGCAGUCUCCACCGUAAGGCCUGCUUUUGGAGGAUCAUGUGGGCAGAGCAAGGCCACUUGGCGUUUUCUGCUCUCCUCGUCCCAUGCUCCCGUCCCUGGGAUGUCCUCCCAACGUUGAACAAACGCCCACCAGGCACCCAAGACUCGAGUGCACACAGCUUUUCACACACACUCUCUGGAUGAAGCUGAAUCUGCAUCCUCAGGUGGAAGCUGGUAGCCAGGGAGCCGUACCGGACACAAGACAGGCCGUGAGUUCAAGACACAUUCCAGAACCUUCCAUCCAGCAGGAUGGCUGAGGAAGGCCCUUUGACUAAGGUCCAGAACUGGGAUGUGAGAGGGAUGCACAUGGGCAGGGGUGGGGCACAUGGAAGGGUUGUGCAAGGUGCACACUGUGCGAUUGGGGACCAGGCCCAGGGCGGUCCAGCGGGACUCAGUGCUGCACUGGUUUGGGGGUGGACUUGGUCGCAGGGCAGCAGAGAGAGGAGACAGGGCAUGGACCUAACUGUCCUUGUCCACUCGGCAGGGACGGGAUGUGGGGCUUGAGAGAGGCUGACAGAAGCCUGGAAUCAGGAGGCGCCAGUUAGUGGUGUUUGGUGCCCGUACCUGCCGUGGCACAGCAGGAAGCAGCAGCACUCUGGAAAGGAGGCCUGGGCACAUGAGGCCCAGGUGGCGCUGCUCAGGGGCAGGAGGACCUGGUGGCCAUAGCCACAUAGCCGAUGGUCUCCUUGCCACAGCUGGAGGUCUGAGAUGCUCCCCACAGCUGAGAGGGGUGGAUAGCCCCUGGUCCCCGUGUGGCACAGGGCUUCACAGUGUAAUCCCAUUAUUGUCACACAAUUACCAGGGCCCUUGACGACGUCAUUAUUCUUCCUAAUCACCCAAAGACCUUUAGCAUUUAACUGGUAAAUAACUAAAUUUAAUUAAUACUCUAGAGUGCUGGGAAAACCUAAUUUCCCCUGUCCCUGUACUUUUGUACAAUUUUAUUUGCUGUACUAGGGAGGGUUUGUGAGGAUAAUAUGUGAAGACAC